Molecule: non-coding RNA, 72 nt
Organism: Phrynosoma platyrhinos (Desert horned lizard)
Lineage: Eukaryota; Metazoa; Chordata; Lepidosauria; Squamata; Phrynosomatidae
Source: the annotation of a GenBank genome assembly
GACAGUGUGGCAUAAUGGUUUGUGCACUGGAUUAUGACUCUGGGGACCAGGGUUUGAUUCUCAGGUCAGCCA